GGGACCUGCGGAAGGAUCAUUG
RNAcentral lists this ribosomal RNA (22 nucleotides) under Trichocentrum pumilum. RNAcentral's name for it is "partial 18S ribosomal RNA". Lineage: Eukaryota; Viridiplantae; Streptophyta; Magnoliopsida; Asparagales; Orchidaceae. The record is from RNAcentral.